Molecule: ribosomal RNA, 253 nt
Filed under: uncultured bacterium
Lineage: Bacteria
Description: partial 16S ribosomal RNA
Rfam family: Bacterial small subunit ribosomal RNA
Source: RNAcentral
GACGUAGGGCGCGAGCGUUGUCCGGAUUUAUUGGGCGUAAAGAGCGUGUAGGCGGUCAGGUAGGUCGGUUGUGAAAACUGGAGGCUCAACCUUCAGAGGUCGACCGAAACCCCCUGGCUAGAGUCCGGGAGAGGAGAGUGGAAUUCCUGGUGUAGCGGUGAAAUGCGCAGAUAUCAGGAAGAACACCCGUGGCGAAAGCGGCUCUCUGGAACGGUACUGACGCUGAGACGCGAAAGCGUGGGGAGCGAACAGG